Lathyrus oleraceus (garden pea) is the source of this 788-nucleotide long non-coding RNA. RefSeq lists it as uncharacterized. The transcript has 2 exons. The record is from RefSeq and is a predicted model, not a curated record. NCBI's taxonomy places the organism in Eukaryota, Viridiplantae, Streptophyta, Magnoliopsida, Fabales, Fabaceae.
AUACCACAGGGAGGUGGCACAAAACCGGUGACAAGUGUCUCAUUGGUGGAGACACUUGUCACCACCGUAACGGACCAACAAAGCCAAAUAAAACCCAAAAAGCAAAACCAAACUAACCAUUUUCCAAAACACUUCUCUCUCUUAACUCCAAAACCGAAAUUGCUCAGCAAUUUAAAUCCUCUUCUCCGAUCCUAACCUACCGGAGAAAACGGUGGUUGCCGGCCAACGACGUCAUCACCACCUUCUUCUCCAGUGAACCAAAACACACAAAACCCAAAACUCCAACAAUAACCCCUCCUUAUUUUGGCCCAUGAUUAUGAAUUUGACCCAAAAAUAACCAAGUCCUAACCAAAACUCCAGACCGGGAACCCUAAAACAAAAACCCUAACUCAAACAAAAUGAUAUUAAACCCAGAAUCAAAGGCAAAGUGAGCAAUUACUAAAGGAAUAAGGAUCGGCAAAAGGAUUUCUACACUAUAAUCAAUUUUAAAAAGGCGAGAAGAGCUCAAAACUACCUAAUCGGAGCGAGUCUGAAGUGAUUCCGGCAAUGCUUCGAAGGUACAUUGAUUGCUUACGAGGAUGACAUGGAAAGACAUCAAUAUUAAGCGCUACAUGAAGGAUGAUGUUGAGCACUGAUUAUGAAAAAUAAAGAACGUGUACACGGGCUCACACGACUUCUAUUGUUUUCUAGCUUUGUUAUUUUAUAAAGAAAUGUAUCAUCAAUUUUUGUGCUUAACUGAAACUGUAUGUAAUGAAAAUGUUGUAUUUAAAAUGUAUCUUAUUUUCAUA